GCCUCCUUAGUAUAGCGCAGUACGUGAAAUUGCAAACUUCAAGGCAUAGAAGGAGGCU
RNAcentral lists this transfer RNA (58 nucleotides) under Tigriopus kingsejongensis. Its description in RNAcentral is "tRNA-Cys". The record is from RNAcentral. Lineage: Eukaryota; Metazoa; Arthropoda; Copepoda; Harpacticoida; Harpacticidae.